Molecule: ribosomal RNA, 492 nt
Filed under: uncultured bacterium
Lineage: Bacteria
Description: partial 16S ribosomal RNA
Rfam family: Bacterial small subunit ribosomal RNA
Source: RNAcentral
AGUGAACGCUGGCGGUAGGCCUAACACAUGCAAGUCGAACGGCAGCACAGUAAGAGCUUGCUCCUACGGGUGGCGAGUGGCGGACGGGUGAGGAAUACAUCGGAAUCUACUUUUUCGUGGGGGAUAACGUAGGGAAACUUACGCUAAUACCGCAUACGACCUACGGGUGAAAGCAGGGGAUCUUCGGACCUUGCGCGAUUGAAUGAGCCGAUGUCGGAUUAGCUAGUUGGCGGGGUAAAGGCCCACCAAGGCGACGAUCCGUAGCUGGUCUGAGAGGAUGAUCAGCCACACUGGAACUGAGACACGGUCCAGACUCCUACGGGAGGAAGCAGUGGGGAAUAUUGGACAAUGGGCGCAAGCCUGAUCCAGCCAUACCGCGUGGGUGAAGAAGGCCUUCGGGUUGUAAAGCCCUUUUGUUGGGAAAGAAAAGCAGCAGGUUAAUACCCCGCUGUUCUGACGGUACCCAAAGAAUAAGCACCGGCUAACUUCGUG